UACGGGGGGUGCAAGCGUUGUUCGGAAUUAUUGGGCGUAAAGAGCGUGUAGGCGGCCGGAUAUGUCAGAUGUGAAAGCCCUGGGCUUAACCCAGGAAGUGCAUUUGAAACUGUCCGGCUCGAGUAGGGGAGAGGGAAGUGGAAUUCCUGGUGUAGAGGUGAAAUUCGUAGAUAUCAGGAGGAACACCGGUGGCGAAGGCGACUUCCUGGCCCUAUACUGACGCUGAGACGCGAGAGCGUGGGUAGCAAACAGGAUUAGAUACC
This 263-nucleotide ribosomal RNA is filed under the name uncultured bacterium. RNAcentral describes it as "partial 16S ribosomal RNA". It matches the Rfam family "Bacterial small subunit ribosomal RNA", at positions 524 to 786 of the family's 1533-position model. The record is from RNAcentral.